UGGAAUGGUAUCUAGAAAACACACUAACCAA
Molecule: non-coding RNA, 31 nt
Filed under: Mus musculus (house mouse)
Lineage: Eukaryota; Metazoa; Chordata; Mammalia; Rodentia; Muridae
Source: RNAcentral